Molecule: ribosomal RNA, 169 nt
Filed under: Bacillus licheniformis
Lineage: Bacteria; Bacillati; Bacillota; Bacilli; Caryophanales; Bacillaceae
Description: partial 16S ribosomal RNA
Rfam family: Bacterial small subunit ribosomal RNA
Source: RNAcentral
AGGGAAAAAUUGACGAAGUCUGACGGAGCACGCCGCGUGAGUGAUGAAGGUUUUCGGAUCGUAAAACUCUGUUGUUAGGGAAGAACAAGUACCGUUCGAAUAGGGCGGUACCUUGACGGUACCUAACCAGAAAGCCACGGCUAACUACGUGCCAGCAGCCGCGGUAAUA